UGCGACGUUGCCUCUUUCUAUGGUUUUCACAGGCUUACAAAAAAGAAACAGGUAUUGACUGGAAAGUUCUCUCCCUGUUCUCUCAGCAAUGGCUGCUGAGCGUGGUGGCCUUAAGUGGCGUAAUGGUUUGUAUGAUUAGAUGAGAAAAUGGUACAUUACAUCAAGCAAAUAGUGCUGUUUUGGGGCCUCUUCCUAUCAAUGUUUAUUAUGAGUAUAGGAAUCGAAGUGAACUCUGGAGAUUGAAGAUAAACAAGUGAAGUGAUUGAAGUUCAUUUUGAUGCCACUGAAAAGCAAGUUGUUUCCCUCCUAUGGUGUUUUAUCUGUUAACUUUUCAUCUUGAAGGCUCUUGUAGUUAAUUAAGUUAAUUUUGGUGUUAGUGAAACAUUUGAUGAUUUUGAUGUCUUCGCCGUGUAAUUAAUUUUGACCAUGGAAAUGGGAUGUAACUAGAAAUUAAUUAUCAAGUCACUGAAACAACGAAUAGUCUGCAGUGGUAUCCCUCCUGGAUUUGGUUUACUCAUCACAUUUGUAGACUCCAGAAUGCUACUUUUUGCAGUUAAUUAAGAUUGACGAUAACAUCAAGAGUGGAAGGGUGUUCAUUUUGAUGUUACUGAAAAAGAACUUUAUCUGCCGUGUCGUUCUACCUGUUAACAUUUCUUAGAAAAUAUUGCAGUUAGGACAGUGGAUGUGCGUUUGGUCCUAAAGAAAGCAUGAAAGUGCCUUUUGUCCGUUGGAAAUGGAGGCAGUGUGCUCUUGCUAAGGGAAUGAUAUAUAUGAAAAUGAACCGAUUGUCCAAAUUAGAACGAAUUGGCGUUAAUUUUGGUGCUACUGAAACAUUCGAUGUUCUUGAUGUCUUCGCCUUGUAACAUUGUGCAGUUA
RNAcentral lists this long non-coding RNA (876 nucleotides) under Agrilus planipennis (emerald ash borer). RNAcentral's name for it is "uncharacterized LOC108736473, transcript variant X6". Lineage: Eukaryota; Metazoa; Arthropoda; Insecta; Coleoptera; Buprestidae. The record is from RNAcentral.